RNAcentral lists this ribosomal RNA (518 nucleotides) under Fusarium oxysporum f. sp. ranunculi. Its description in RNAcentral is "eukaryotic LSU rRNA". The stretch from base 168 to 321 matches the Rfam family "5.8S ribosomal RNA". The record is from RNAcentral. Lineage: Eukaryota; Fungi; Ascomycota; Sordariomycetes; Hypocreales; Nectriaceae.
ACCAGCGGAGGGAUCAUUACCGAGUUUACAACUCCCAAACCCCUGUGAACAUACCACUUGUUGCCUCGGCGGAUCAGCCCGCUCCCGGUAAAACGGGACGGCCCGCCAGAGGACCCCUAAACUCUGUUUCUAUAUGUAACUUCUGAGUAAAACCAUAAAUAAAUCAAAACUUUCAACAACGGAUCUCUUGGUUCUGGCAUCGAUGAAGAACGCAGCAAAAUGCGAUAAGUAAUGUGAAUUGCAGAAUUCAGUGAAUCAUCGAAUCUUUGAACGCACAUUGCGCCCGCCAGUAUUCUGGCGGGCAUGCCUGUUCGAGCGUCAUUUCAACCCUCAAGCACAGCUUGGUGUUGGGACUCGCGUUAAUUCGCGUUCCUCAAAUUGAUUGGCGGUCACGUCGAGCUUCCAUAGCGUAGUAGUAAAACCCUCGUUACUGGUAAUCGUCGCGGCCACGCCGUUAAACCCCAACUUCUGAAUGUUGACCUCGGAUCAGGUAGGAAUACCCGCUGAACUUAAGCAUA